CACUCAGUCUCAAAAGGUCUGUCUGUACGUACCACUCAGUCUCAAAAGGUCUGUCUGUACGUACCACUCAGUCUCAAAAGGUCUGUCUGUACGUACCACUCAGUCUCAAAAGGUCUGUCUGUACGUACCACUCAGUCUCAAAAGGUCUGUCUGUACGUACCACUCAGUCUCAAAAGGUCUGUCUGUACGUACCACUCAGUCUCAAAAGGUCUGUCUGUACGUACCACUCAGUCUCAAAAGGUCUGUCUGUACGUACCACUCAGUCUCAAAAGGUCUGUCUGUACGUACCACUCAGUCUCAAAAGGUCUGUCUGUACGUACCACUCAGUCUCAAAAGGUCUGUCUGUACGUACCACUCCGUCUCAAAAGGUCUGUCUGUACGUACCACUCUGUCUUGUCGGUGCAGAUGAAGAACUGAGAGCCGUUGGUGUUGGGCCCAGCGU
Molecule: long non-coding RNA, 442 nt
Organism: Oncorhynchus keta (chum salmon)
Lineage: Eukaryota; Metazoa; Chordata; Actinopteri; Salmoniformes; Salmonidae
Exons: 4
Source: RefSeq, a predicted model, not a curated record